RNAcentral lists this ribosomal RNA (492 nucleotides) under uncultured bacterium. Its description in RNAcentral is "partial 16S ribosomal RNA". It matches the Rfam family "Bacterial small subunit ribosomal RNA", at positions 29 to 507 of the family's 1533-position model. The record is from RNAcentral.
AGUGAACGCUGGCGGUAGGCCUAACACAUGCAAGUCGAACGGUUGCACAGUAAGAGCUUGCUAUUACUGCUGGCGAGUCGUGGACGGGUGAGGAAAACAGCUGACUCUUCUUUUUCGUUUGGGCUCACGUAGUGAAACCUACGCUCAUACUGCAUACCACCUUCGGGUGAACGCAUGGGAUCUUCGGCCCUUGCGCGAAUGAAUGAGCCGAUGACGGAUUAGCUAGUUGGCGGGCUAAAGGCCCACCAAGGCGACGAUCCGUAGCUGGUCUGAGAGGAUGAUCAGCCACACUGGAACUGAGACACGGUCCAGACUCCUAAGGGAGGCAGCAGUGGAGAAUAUUGAACAAUAGGCGAAGGACUGAUCAAGCAAUACGGCGUGGGUGAAGAAGGCCUUCGGGUUGUAAAGCCCUUUUGUUGGGAAAGAAAAGCCGCAGGUUGAUACCCCGCUGUUCUGACGGUACCAAAAGAAUAGGCACCGGCUAACUUCGUG